UCGUAACACGAACCGGUGCUAAAGGAUCUUGCCCAACGGCUACUGACAGCUGUUGUUGGGGCAGGGACCCUUUAGCACCGGUUCGUGUUACAAACCGGUGGUAAAGGGUU
Molecule: microRNA precursor, 110 nt
Filed under: Sorghum bicolor (sorghum)
Lineage: Eukaryota; Viridiplantae; Streptophyta; Magnoliopsida; Poales; Poaceae
Description: miR5387 stem-loop (sbi-MIR5387a)
Rfam family: MIR5387 microRNA precursor family (bases 1-94)
Source: miRBase by way of RNAcentral